AUUUGGAAUGCCACAGAAGUAUGUGCAAAUGAUCCCUGCUAUCUGGAAUUACCCAAGCCCAGCACCAGCAAUGGAGAGCUGAAAAACCGGGUGUGUUUGGGAGUUUCUGUCUGUACUUUUUCAUGGAAAUGAACGGUUGAAUAUAGAGGUCUUGGAAAAAAGCUUGUGUUCUUUGGAGAAUGAGUAUUUCAUCGCUGUUAUGCCAACUUAAUGGAAAAUACACAAAAAGGGGACUAGAGUGAAGGGAAGGAGGGAAAAACCGAAAAUAAAGAAGACCAAAAGCCAUGCUCACUUGCUGCAGAAAAGGCAAACCAAGUUCCUGAUGCUGCUGCAGCCAAAAGAGACCAGAGGAGAGGUGGGGUUCACACCUAUAAAACAUCAAAUUUCUGAACAUCUGCACAGUCUCAUAUUCCAUGUGUGUGAAUGAAUGCACAGAGAUCAUUAAAGACACGUUUAUUGUGA
This is a long non-coding RNA of Hemicordylus capensis (graceful crag lizard), 462 nucleotides long. RefSeq lists it as uncharacterized. Lineage: Eukaryota; Metazoa; Chordata; Lepidosauria; Squamata; Cordylidae. The record is from RefSeq and is a predicted model, not a curated record. The transcript has 2 exons.